Truncatella angustata is the source of this 99-nucleotide non-coding RNA. NCBI's taxonomy places the organism in Eukaryota, Fungi, Ascomycota, Sordariomycetes, Amphisphaeriales, Sporocadaceae. The record is from the annotation of a RefSeq genome assembly.
GGUGACAUAGUAUAGUGGUCAGUACGAGUCGUUGUGGCUACUCUUAGAGUUGUUCAGAACGUUUCCGACUAGACCCCGGUUCGAUUCCGGGUGUCGCCA